This 120-nucleotide ribosomal RNA is filed under the name uncultured bacterium. Its description in RNAcentral is "partial 16S ribosomal RNA". It matches the Rfam family "Bacterial small subunit ribosomal RNA", at positions 30 to 149 of the family's 1533-position model. The record is from RNAcentral.
AUUGAACGCUGGCGGCAUGCUUUACACAUGCAAGUCGAACGGUAACAGGUCUUCGGAUGCUGACGAGUGGCGAACGGGUGAGUAAUGCAUCGGAACGUGCCCAGUCGUGGGGGAUAACGC